Molecule: small RNA, 90 nt
Filed under: Escherichia coli
Lineage: Bacteria; Pseudomonadati; Pseudomonadota; Gammaproteobacteria; Enterobacterales; Enterobacteriaceae
Description: partial RtT sRNA
Rfam family: RtT RNA
About the family: This family represents a bacterial cis-regulatory element known as RtT RNA.
Source: RNAcentral
AUUCUGCCCAAGCGGGGAAGGAUGAGAAGCUUCGACCAAGGUUCGACUCGAGCGCCAGCGAGAGAGCGUUGCCGCAGGCAACGACCCGAA